RNAcentral lists this ribosomal RNA (495 nucleotides) under uncultured bacterium. Its description in RNAcentral is "partial 16S ribosomal RNA". It matches the Rfam family "Bacterial small subunit ribosomal RNA", at positions 28 to 523 of the family's 1533-position model. The record is from RNAcentral.
GAUGAACGCUGGCGGCGUGCUUAACACAUGCAAGUCGAGCGAAGCGAUUUUAAGGAAGCUUUCGGGUGGAAUUAAAAUUGACUGAGCGGCGGACGGGUGAGUAACGCGUGGGUAACCUGCCUCAUACAGGGGGAUAACAGUUAGAAAUGACUGCUAAUACCGCAUAAGCGCACAGUGCUGCAUAGCACAGUGUGAAAAACUCCGGUGGUAUGAGAUGGACCCGCGUCUGAUUAGGUAGUUGGUAGGGUAACGGCCUACCAAGCCGACGAUCAGUAGCCGACCUGAGAGGGUGACCGGCCACAUUGGGACUGAGACACGGCCCAAACUCCUACGGGAGGCAGCAGUGGGGAAUAUUGGACAAUGGGGGAAACCCUGAUCCAGCGACGCCGCGUGAGUGAAGAAGUAUUUCGGUAUGUAAAGCUCUAUCAGCAGGGAAGAAAAUGACGGUACCUGACUAAGAAGCCCCGGCUAACUACGUGCCAGCCGCCGCCGUAA